GAAAUGCGAUAAGUAAUGUGAAUUGCAGAAUUCAGUGAAUCAUCGAAUCUUUGAACGCACAUUGCGCCCGCCAGUAUUCUGGCGGGCAUGCCUGUUCGAGCGUCAUUACAACCCUCAGGCCCCCGGGCCUGGCGUUGGGGAUCGGCGGAAGCCCCCUGCGGGCACAACGCCGUCCCCCAAAUACAGUGGCGGUCCCGCCGCAGCUUCCAUUGCGUAGUAGCUAACACCUCGCAACUGGAGAGCGGCGCGGCCACGCCGUAAAACCCCCAACUUCUGAAUGUUGACCUCGAAUCAGGUAGGAAUACCCGCUGAACUUAAGC
This 320-nucleotide unclassified non-coding RNA is filed under the name plant metagenome. Its description in RNAcentral is "partial contains 5.8S ribosomal RNA, internal transcribed spacer 2, and large subunit ribosomal RNA". The stretch from base 1 to 105 matches the Rfam family "5.8S ribosomal RNA", at positions 50 to 154 of the family's 154-position model. The record is from RNAcentral.